Molecule: long non-coding RNA, 1084 nt
Organism: Eriocheir sinensis (Chinese mitten crab)
Lineage: Eukaryota; Metazoa; Arthropoda; Malacostraca; Decapoda; Varunidae
Exons: 2
Source: RefSeq, a predicted model, not a curated record
AAUAUUAUAGUCUCCUUGACUAAGUCUUACAAGACUUAUGAUUUCAGUCUUCACGACUCUUGAUCAAACUUCUCCCAAGAAUUCAAGAAUCCUUGGAUUAAUGUCGCAUUAUCUAGCAUGCAGAGUAGAUGCAAAUUACGGAAAUUUAAAGGAUGGUCGGUAAAUGCGUACCCGGAGAAACCUGGGAAAGGAAACAGUGCUGCUCUAACUCCGAUGACACACCUGCCCUGUGUCCCGGGUUAUGGGUUAAUUCCCACCACUGGCUCAAAGGUCAGUUAAUGUGAUGGAGAUGAGCAGCGAGGCCAUGCGCAGCUAUGGGGCAUGACCUCAACUUUACCUUUAAUAACAUUGCUACUGCUAUCAGUGUUACUAAUAUCAGCUGCAACCAACCUGAUACAUUAAAAAUAAAACAUACCCAGCCAUCAAAUCAUGUCUUGGAAUAAAGAUAUCUUAAUCGCCUCAGCCCCUGCAUGGCCUUCCUCCUUCCCUCAGCAUCCAAGUCUUACAUCACGGCUGGCUCCCAUCAUUGAUCUGAAACCAUACACUCUGCUCCUUUAGAAUUCAUACAUUCAACAAACAUAAAAUUGCCUUAAAAUAAAGAAAAAAAUAAAUAAAUAAAUUAGAUGCUAUUCUAGAAACAUAUAAUUCAGAAAAAACAAGAAACAAAUCCAAAUGGAACUGUACAUAAUUUCUCUCGGACAAGCCAAGGAAAGAAUUAAUUAAGGUUUGACACACACACUAAAAAUAAACAACAGCAUUCUAUUGUCAUUUUAUUUUUUAGCUUUGAGAUGCAACAACAACUGUACAAGGUAAAUAUACAGGAUUUUACAAAACUCUGCAAACGUCAUAACACUUACAAGACACAACAUAAAAAGUAUACCAGAGAAAAACUUGACUUAACGCCUUGAUGAUGUAGAGACAGACACACUGACAGACAGGGGGCCUCGAUUCUCCGCUGGGCAGUGAACCGGAAUAGGAGGAGGACCAGGAGAGGAAGGACUGGGAUAUGGGGGCUGGAGGAUGAGACAGGAGUUGGGAGAAGGGAGUAAGGGUGAGGUUGAGGAAUGGGAUACAUGGAGAGAAG